RNAcentral lists this transfer RNA (77 nucleotides) under Gammaproteobacteria bacterium. RNAcentral's name for it is "tRNA-Arg". It matches the Rfam family "tRNA". Rfam says of the family: Transfer RNA (tRNA) molecules are approximately 80 nucleotides in length. Their secondary structure includes four short double-helical elements and three loops (D, anti-codon, and T loops). RNAcentral also lists the same sequence under 1 other name. Lineage: Bacteria; Pseudomonadati; Pseudomonadota; Gammaproteobacteria. The record is from RNAcentral.
GCGCCCGUAGCUCAGUUGGAUAGAGUGUCGGCCUCCGAAGCCGAAGGUCAGAGGUUCGAAUCCUCUCGGGCGCGCCA